Molecule: transfer RNA, 76 nt
Filed under: Pseudomonas fragi
Lineage: Bacteria; Pseudomonadati; Pseudomonadota; Gammaproteobacteria; Pseudomonadales; Pseudomonadaceae
Description: tRNA-Lys
Rfam family: tRNA
About the family: Transfer RNA (tRNA) molecules are approximately 80 nucleotides in length. Their secondary structure includes four short double-helical elements and three loops (D, anti-codon, and T loops).
Source: RNAcentral
GGGUCGAUAGCUCAGUUGGUAGAGCAGUUGGCUUUUAACCAAUUGGUCGUAGGUUCGAAUCCCACACGACCCACCA